This 536-nucleotide ribosomal RNA is filed under the name uncultured bacterium. RNAcentral describes it as "bacterial SSU rRNA". It matches the Rfam family "Bacterial small subunit ribosomal RNA", at positions 28 to 561 of the family's 1533-position model. The record is from RNAcentral.
AGUGAACGCUGGCGGCAGGCCUAACACAUGCAAGUCGAGCGGCAGCGCGGGGCAACCUGGCGGCGAGCGGCGGACGGGUGAGGAAUGCAUCGGAAUCUACCCUGUCGUGGGGAUAACGUAGGGAAACUUACGCUAAUACCGCAUACGACCGAGAGGUGAAAGUGGGGGACCGCAAGGCCUCACGCGAUUGGAUGAGCCGAUGCCGGAUUAGCUAGUUGGUGGGGUAAAGGCCCACCAAGGCGACGAUCCGUAGCUGGUCUGAGAGGAUGAUCAGCCACACUGGGACUGAGACACGGCCCAGACUCCUACGGGAGGCAGCAGUGGGGAAUAUUGGACAAUGGGCGCAAGCCUGAUCCAGCCAUGCCGCGUGUGUGAAGAAGGCCUUCGGGUUGUAAAGCACUUUUGUUCGGGAAGAAAAUCGUGCGGAUUAAUACUUCGUACGGAUGACGGUACCGAAAGAAUAAGCACCGGCUAACUUCGUGCCAGCAGCCGCGGUAAUACGAAGGGUGCAAGCGUUACUCGGAAUCACUGGGCGU